This is a long non-coding RNA of Triticum aestivum (bread wheat), 440 nucleotides long. RefSeq lists it as uncharacterized. The transcript has 3 exons. Lineage: Eukaryota; Viridiplantae; Streptophyta; Magnoliopsida; Poales; Poaceae. The record is from RefSeq and is a predicted model, not a curated record.
CUCCCAGUCAUAAUAUUCUUUAUCUUGGCUCGUUGUUUGGGGAUGGACGCAUCAAUCUGAUGGCGCUCUCCUCCAUGCCAAACGGAUCCUUGGUUCGGAGGCGCGCGGCGCCGACGAUGACAACCUUUCUAUCGACGCAAGGGCAGCAGGAGCUCAUGACGCUGUUGAUGCCACCACCAUGCAUGGGGUUGAUGCAAGGUGGGACAAUGCGAUCACUAAUGGGGAGAACAUAAAACUUCAAUUGAGGGCACUGUGAUUCUCUAGCUACAUGUAUCAUGGUCACCAACCACACAUGUAAAAACCAUGUCUCCCUACUGUAAUUUGAUGAUUUAUUUACAUGUGGCACAGAAUAGUUCAGAGUUCACUCCGAGAAAGAAUUGCUUUGCAUGUACAUUUGCUAAAAGACGGAUGUGCUGAACUUUCGACGGUUCCGAUUGGUU